AAGUCGUAACAAGGUUUCCGUAGGUGAACCUGCGGAAGGAUCAUCAACAAUGAUUUAUUCUGUAUUGUGAAUUGUAAGCGCAACUUGGUGGGAAGAGUAUGAGAGUACUCAACUCACCAACACUAUCAUACACACUCACACACUGUACUAACAUACACAAACUAAUACAACUUUCAACAAUGGAUCUCUAGGCUCUC
This 197-nucleotide unclassified non-coding RNA is filed under the name Phylloporus sp. RNAcentral's name for it is "partial contains small subunit ribosomal RNA, internal transcribed spacer 1, and 5.8S ribosomal RNA". The stretch from base 1 to 46 matches the Rfam family "Eukaryotic small subunit ribosomal RNA", at positions 1786 to 1831 of the family's 1831-position model. The record is from RNAcentral. Lineage: Eukaryota; Fungi; Basidiomycota; Agaricomycetes; Boletales; Boletaceae.